GGUUUUAGUUUUUUUAUUAUUAUUAUUUUAUAGUUUCGCAAGUCAAUUAUAGUGUCAAAGGAAAAAUCAGAGGAUAAAAAGGUCAUUAAGACUGUCUAGUCAUCCGUUGAAUUAGACGCUAAUCGAAAAUGUCAUUUUCGUAAAUCCAGUCAAAAUGAAGAUUACUUAUCUAAUCGCAGUCGUCGUGUAUACUCACAUUAAGGAGCUUGCAGUAACUGUACGGCCUUUAAGUACGAUUGUGCGAGUCAUUUCAGAUCCGUGGAUUCUGCCUCACUCUUUCUCAGGUCUCAUUUUUGUGGCCAUUUGAAACCAAAAAAAGGAAAUCACAGGCCAAAGUAUCAGAGCUAAUCCCUCUAAUCAAGCUAACCCUCAGUCUCCUUUUUCCCCAGAUCUCAGAUCUUGAUAUAUCCAUAGGUCUCUUUUACUCAGAUCCGCACCUCGGCUUCAGGGACAAACUGUAUCACUCUAAGUUU
Molecule: unclassified non-coding RNA, 473 nt
Filed under: Hevea brasiliensis (rubber tree)
Lineage: Eukaryota; Viridiplantae; Streptophyta; Magnoliopsida; Malpighiales; Euphorbiaceae
Source: RNAcentral